UGGAGUCAGAUGCAGUAGAGCCCCCUCC
RNAcentral lists this non-coding RNA (28 nucleotides) under Rattus norvegicus (Norway rat). The record is from RNAcentral. Lineage: Eukaryota; Metazoa; Chordata; Mammalia; Rodentia; Muridae.